AGUCACUGACAUUAGAUACCCCGGUAGUCCCAGCCCUAAACGAUGCGCGUUAGGUGUAUCGGUGGCCACGAGUCACCGAGGUGCCGAAGGGAAACCGUGAAACGUGCCGCCUGGGAAGUACGGUCGCAAGGCUGAAACUUAAAGGAAUUGGCGGGGAGCACCACAAGAGGUGGAGGCUGCGGUUCAAUUGGACUCAACGCCGGAAAACUCAUCGGGAGCGACAGCAGUAUGAUUGCCAGGUUGAUGACCUUGCUUGACAAGCUG
This 264-nucleotide ribosomal RNA is filed under the name uncultured archaeon. RNAcentral's name for it is "partial 16S ribosomal RNA". It matches the Rfam family "Archaeal small subunit ribosomal RNA", at positions 718 to 982 of the family's 1478-position model. The record is from RNAcentral.